UUCCAAUUAGAGGUCCUCUUACG
This 23-nucleotide non-coding RNA is filed under the name Arabidopsis thaliana (thale cress). The record is from RNAcentral. Lineage: Eukaryota; Viridiplantae; Streptophyta; Magnoliopsida; Brassicales; Brassicaceae.